RNAcentral lists this transfer RNA (73 nucleotides) under Apis mellifera (honey bee). RNAcentral's name for it is "tRNA-Sup (TCA) (tRNA-Sup-TCA-1-1)". It matches the Rfam family "tRNA". Rfam says of the family: Transfer RNA (tRNA) molecules are approximately 80 nucleotides in length. Their secondary structure includes four short double-helical elements and three loops (D, anti-codon, and T loops). The record is from RNAcentral. Lineage: Eukaryota; Metazoa; Arthropoda; Insecta; Hymenoptera; Apidae.
GCGAUGGUGAUAUAAUGGUUAGCAUAAUUGUCUUUCAAAGUAGUUGAUUCGGUUUUGAUUCCCGGCUAUUGUA